UCUUCUCUUUUCUUUCUUCUUCUUCUGAGUAUCUCUUCUUUUUCUCGCUGUUGAUUUUGAUCGCAGAGAUUUAGCCUCUUCUGUUCGAGAUUUUCUUGUAAACCUUGUUAUCGUGAUGAACUGAGGGAAGAGAUGUUAUUACUGAAGUUGAGUUAGUUUUGGAAAAGCAGAGAUUUAGGGUUUAAUUUCAGUCUCUCAGUUAAUUGAAUUAGGGUUAGGACUUCUCAGAGGAUUGAAUUUGAGUUCAGUAUGAGUGAUGAUUAAGAUGAAUAUGAUAGUGAUUGAAGUUGAUUUAUUAAUUAGGGUUUUGCUGAGAAGAAGAGUUAUGUGUAUGAGGUUAGGGUUUGAGUUUGAGAUAAUAGAAAUUGAGAAUUGAGAUGAAUUUGAUAAAGAUGUGUGAAGCUGGGAUUGCUGGUGGUGUUUGGUUAUUGAAUACAUGACUUGGUGGUGGUCUGGUUCAGAUUUAAACAAUAGGGUAGUUUCAAAUGAAGCUGAGGCUGGUGGUGAUAUCACUGAAGUGCUAAUUGUUGUGACUGAAGAAUGAUGGUGUUGAACAAGGUGAACUGAGGAAUGGUGGUGUUAUGGCAAUAAGAGUUGUAAUUCAGUUACAUAUGAUGCAUAAGGAAGAGCUUAUAUGGAUUUGCAAUUGGAAGAGUGGAUGUUUGUAUUAUUACUGAAUUGGUUAUGCUGAGUUGGUUUAAAUUGUAGUAAUGAUGAUGUGGGUGGAGAUAUGCUGAUGUGUAAUAUCUGGAAUUGAGAAUGGUAGCAACUCUUGGUUGAUGAUGUGAUGAUGUGAUGAAGUGAUGAAGAUGAGUUUAAUUCAGUCAGUGGAGGUUCAAAUUGUAGAUAUUGCAGGUGUGGUGGUGUUGGUUGUUUGGUUGCACUGAAUUGAAGUGUAGCUGCAGCUAAAUGUAACUUUGCAGGAAUUUGAUACAACUUGGAGCUGAACUCUAAAUGGUGGUGCUGAAUUGAGAUUGAGUUAAGUAUAGAAUGAAUCUAUGAUGUACUUCAGAUUAGAAGUGAACUACAAGGGGUUAAUGGUGAAUGCUAUAAAGAACUGGUGGUGAUGGAUCUGAAGAAUUAUUAAACUUGUAAAGAAGAGAGUGAGUUGUAACUGGUGGAAGUUUAGAACUAUAGGUGUUGGUGUUGUUUUAAUGAGAUGUUGCAUGUGGAUUUAGUAAUAUUAUUAGUGCAAUUGCAAGAUGUAAUGGCUCGGUUGGAGGUGUUGUAUCUAGGUGCAGAUGAAGUUGAAUGUGCAAGUGAAUUCUCAAUGGGAAGAGGUUGUAUUUGAAGCAAAAGGUUCUUGUUGUUGUGUUUCUUUUAAAGUUUAAUUGGCAGGACAGUUGAGAAAAGGAUGAAGGCAGUGUUAGAGAUGAUGUUGAUGUAAACAGAAUUGAUUGAGAUUCAAGAAUAAGGAAUAGGGUUGUAUUUUGGUUAAGCUGUCGGGUUGUAAUUGAAGUUAGAAAUGCAUUUUUGACUUAAAGUCUUGGCAUGU
Molecule: long non-coding RNA, 1495 nt
Organism: Papaver somniferum (opium poppy)
Lineage: Eukaryota; Viridiplantae; Streptophyta; Magnoliopsida; Ranunculales; Papaveraceae
Exons: 2
Source: RefSeq, a predicted model, not a curated record